RNAcentral lists this ribosomal RNA (775 nucleotides) under Engystomops petersi (Peters' dwarf frog). RNAcentral's name for it is "partial 16S ribosomal RNA". The stretch from base 246 to 362 matches the Rfam family "Bacterial large subunit ribosomal RNA", at positions 714 to 852 of the family's 2925-position model. Lineage: Eukaryota; Metazoa; Chordata; Amphibia; Anura; Leptodactylidae. The record is from RNAcentral.
GCUAAAAACUUAGCCUUANCCCUACAAUUAUAUUUACCCUAUUUUACUUACACAAAAUAAAACAUUCUUUAAGCUUAGUAAAGGAGAUAAAAAAGUUUUUUAGAGCUAUAAAAUAAGUACCGCAAGGGAAAAAUGAAAUAAAAAUGAAACAAAAUUCAAGCAUAAUAUAGUAGAGUUUUCCCCUCGUACCUUUUGCAUCAUGAUUCAACUAGUUUAACCACGCAAAAAGAAUUUAAGUUUGACUUCCCGAAACUAAGUGAGCUACUUCAGGGCAGCUAAAUGAGCCAACCCGUCUCUGUUGCAAAAGAGUGGGAUGACCCUUAAGUAGAGGUGAUAAACCUAACGAACUUAGUGAUAGCUGGUUAUUCAGAAAAAGAAUUUUAGUUCAACUUAAAAUUACAUAAAUAAAAUAAAAUAAAAUUUUAAUUUUAAAGCAAUUCAAAUAAGGUACAGCCUAUUUGAAAUAGAAUACAAUCUAAACUAUAGGGUAAAUAUAAAAAAUUAAUGUAAUAAAGUAGGCCUAAAAGCAGCCAACUUUAAAAUAGCGUCAAAGCUUACUUCCAUAAUUUUUUAAUACUAUUAUUUACAAUGAACCCUUUAUUUUUACUGAAUAUUUCUAUAAAGUUAUAGAACCUUUUAUGUUGAAACUAGUAACAAGAAGUUAAACUUCUCCUCAAUAUAAGUAUAAGUCGACUAGGAUAAACCAUCGACAAUUAACGCUUAAAUUAAAUGUAUUAACUCCACAAGAAAAACUUACAUUACCCCACGUUAAUCU